Molecule: ribosomal RNA, 368 nt
Filed under: uncultured organism
Description: bacterial LSU rRNA
Rfam family: Bacterial large subunit ribosomal RNA
Source: RNAcentral
CUUUACUGUAACCUGGUAUUGGGUUCGGGCUUUGACUGCGCAGGAUAGGUGGGAGACUUUGAAGUAGUCCUUGUGGGGACUAUGGAGUCAACGGUGAGAUACCACUCUGUCAGAGCUAGAAUUCUAACCUUCACCCGUUAUCCGGGGAAGGAACCGUAUCAGGCGGGCAGUUUGACUGGGGCGGUCGCCUCCUAAAUGGUAACGGAGGCGCGCAAAGGUGUUCUCAGGCUGGUUGGAAAUCAGCCGCAGAGUGUAAAGGCAGAAGAACGCUUGACUGUGAGAGUGACAACUCAAGCAGGGUGGAAACACGGCCUUAGUGAUCCGACGGCUUGUGCGUGGAAAUGCCGUCGCUCAACGGAUAAAAGUUA